This 510-nucleotide ribosomal RNA is filed under the name uncultured bacterium. RNAcentral's name for it is "partial 16S ribosomal RNA". It matches the Rfam family "Bacterial small subunit ribosomal RNA", at positions 28 to 507 of the family's 1533-position model. The record is from RNAcentral.
GACGAACGCUGGCGGCGUGCUUAACACAUGCAAGUCGAACGAAGAGCGAUGGAAGCUUGCUUCUAUCAAUCUUAGUGGCGAACGGGUGAGUAACGCGUAAUCAACCUGCCCUUCAGAGGGGGACAACAGUUGGAAAAGACUGCUAAUACCGCAUACGAUCUAAUCUCGGCAUCGAGGAUAGAUGAAAGGUGGCCUCUACAUGUAAGCUAUCACUGAAGGAGGGGAGUGCGUCUGGUUAGCUAGUUGGAGGGGUAACGGCCCCCCAAGGCGAGGAUCAGUAGCCGGUCUGGGAGGAUGGACGGCCACAUUGGGACUGAGACACGGCCCAGACUCCUACGGGAGGCAGCAGUGGGGAAUCUUCCGCAAUGGACGAAAGUCUGACGGAGCACCGCCGCGUGAGUGAUGACGGCCUUCGGGUUGUAAGGCUCUGUUAAUCGGGACGAAAGGCCUUCUUGCGAAUAGGGAGAAGGAUUGACGGUACCGGAAGAGAAAGCCACGGCUAACUACGUG